RNAcentral lists this non-coding RNA (29 nucleotides) under Homo sapiens (human). Lineage: Eukaryota; Metazoa; Chordata; Mammalia; Primates; Hominidae. The record is from RNAcentral.
UGACCUUCCCAUAUCCCCAUCCUGUGGUC